RNAcentral lists this ribosomal RNA (481 nucleotides) under uncultured bacterium. RNAcentral describes it as "partial 16S ribosomal RNA". It matches the Rfam family "Bacterial small subunit ribosomal RNA", at positions 28 to 523 of the family's 1533-position model. The record is from RNAcentral.
GACGAACGCUGGCGGCGUGCUUAACACAUGCAAGUCGAGCGGUAAGGCCCCUUCGGGGGUACACGAGCGGCGAACGGGUGAGUAACACGUGAGCAAUCUGCCCAUCACAUCGGGAUAACUCCGGGAAACCGAAGCUAAUACCGAAUACGACCGCCCCCGGCAUCGGGUGGCGGUGGAAAGUUCCGGCGGUGAUGGAUGAGCUCGCGGCCUAUCAGCUUGUUGGUGGGGUAAUGGCCCACCAAGGCAACGACGGGUAGCCGGCCUGAGAGGGUGACCGGCCGCACUGGGACUGAGACACGGCCCAGACUCCUACGGGAGGCAGCAGUGGGGAAUAUUGGACAAUGGGCGAAAGCCUGAUCCAGCAACGCCGCGUGAGGGAUGACGGCCUUCGGGUUGUAAACCUCUUUCAGCAGGGACGAAGCGCAAGUGACGGUACCUGCAGAAGAAGCACCGGCCAACUACGUGCCAGCCGCCGCCGUAA